Long non-coding RNA from Poeciliopsis prolifica (blackstripe livebearer), 383 nucleotides. RefSeq lists it as uncharacterized. The record is from RefSeq and is a predicted model, not a curated record. NCBI's taxonomy places the organism in Eukaryota, Metazoa, Chordata, Actinopteri, Cyprinodontiformes, Poeciliidae. The transcript is spliced from 3 exons.
GGAAUGGGUGGACGGGACUCGACUCAACCCCAGUUUCUAGGAGCCAAACAACCAUGAAGACACAGAUGAAGACUGUGGUGAAAUCCGACAUUUUGACAUGGAAAACAACUGGAAUGACGUUCCCUGUGGAAUCCAGAACUCCUGGGUCUGUGAAGUAAAGCUGCAGGGAUGAAGAUGGAAAGCAGCAGGAGGCUGACCUCUGACCUCAGCUGGUAACGGUCCACCAGGGGGCGCCAGUCGGAGCAGGAUGGAUGGUUCAUUCUUCGGGUCGGACCCAAACCGGGUCCAGGUCUGCAGCUCCUUGAUGUUCUUCACAUCUGAAACGGUUGAAGCUUCAAUCUGACUUCAGCUUUGCUGUGAUUUGAACUUUAUUAUUGUUAAUC